CCGAAUGAUUUAGGUCUGCAGAAUGUCAGAAGUAUUGAAACAAGGUUGAUUUAAUGAUAAUCAAUUUCUUAGCUGAGCUGACCUUAGGUUUGGGACAUUCUCCUGCUGAGGACCAAGCGAUUGCUAGUUUCCAGUUUCCUAUAAUAGGCCGCUGUGCUUUGAGGAAUUCAUGAUGGAGCAAACUGUACGGCGGAGGGCGCUCUCAAGAGGAUUCGGAGGUCAAGGACGUGUCUCUGGUUUUUUGUAACUCUGCUACAAGCUCAUGACAUUCAUUGCGGUUCUUAUUUUAACCAGAGGAUUUACACUGCAGAUGAGAUCUGACUGUAUUACACAAUUGGUAGCAGAGGAGCAAUCUACAGAGCUACAGCGUUCUCAGUAACACAAAUUACAAAGCUUCAACUUAAUGUUGGCAUUUUGGGAUUAUUUUUGAAAUAUACAAACCAUUUUAUUAAAAAUACCCCCUCAGUUUCUUUGGUUUAAUCGUGUGUUUGCGUGAAUUAAAAAAAUUUAAAAUAAAUAAACUCAGCUGGAGUGUUCCCUGCCCCAAAAAGCCUAAUCUAUACAUGUUCCUACUUCACAUGUUUAUGUUGGGUGGUAGGACAUGAAAAGGCUGUUUUUCUGGCAUCACUUAUGUACAACCAGUUCGCAUCAGUUCGCAUCUAAUUGUUCCCAUGGAGACCCACUGAACUCAACAUCCCACUCUUUGCUGCUGUGACCUUUGGUGAUUUUUUUCCUUUCUUUUAACCUCGACUGCCAUGCAGCUCAUUGUAUUUGGUGGUGAGAUAGCGAUAUGUCAUUGUCCAGCCUACAGCAGGUUAUAAAAAUGGACAUCUGUGUCACUUUAUAUUAAAAGAGGCGGUAUUGUGUAAAAAUGACUUUUCUGAGCUUUACAUCAUGUUAUUCUAUUCCCUCAUCAAAAACAUACCUGACAUGUUGCCUUGAUUCUAUCGUGUAUAUUUGAGAAAUCCUCUAAUCUCCCAUGGCAACCAUUUAGCCAGUGGAAUGAAGG
Molecule: long non-coding RNA, 1009 nt
Organism: Poecilia latipinna (sailfin molly)
Lineage: Eukaryota; Metazoa; Chordata; Actinopteri; Cyprinodontiformes; Poeciliidae
Exons: 3
Source: RefSeq, a predicted model, not a curated record